Non-coding RNA from Podarcis lilfordi (Lilford's wall lizard), 79 nucleotides. The record is from the annotation of a GenBank genome assembly. NCBI's taxonomy places the organism in Eukaryota, Metazoa, Chordata, Lepidosauria, Squamata, Lacertidae.
GGCUAUAGUUCAGUGGGAUAACAUCUGCUUCCCAUGCAGAAGUCCCUGGUUCAUUCCCCAGCAUUUUCAGGUAGGGCUG